RNAcentral lists this ribosomal RNA (925 nucleotides) under Heterosigma akashiwo. RNAcentral describes it as "partial Bacterial small subunit ribosomal RNA". It matches the Rfam family "Bacterial small subunit ribosomal RNA", at positions 16 to 941 of the family's 1533-position model. The record is from RNAcentral. Lineage: Eukaryota; Raphidophyceae; Chattonellales; Chattonellaceae.
AUCCUGGCUCAGGAUGAACGCUAGCGGCAGGCCUAACACAUGCAAGUCGAGGGGUAACAGGGAGCUUGCUCUGCUGACGACCGGCGCACGGGUGCGUAACGCGUAUAGAAUCUACCUUGUACUGAGGAAUAGCCUUUGGAAACGAAGAUUAAUGCCUCAUAGUAUGUUAAGUUCGCAUGAACACUACAUUAAAGGUUACGGUAUAAGAUGACUAUGCGUUCUAUUAGCUAGAUGGUGUGGUAACGGCACACCAUGGCGACGAUAGAUAGGGGCCCUGAGAGGGGGAUCCCCCACACUGGUACUGAGACACGGACCAGACUCCUACGGGAGGCAGCAGUGAGGAAUAUUGGACAAUGGAGGCAACUCUGAUCCAGCCAUGCCGCGUGCAGGAAGACUGCCCUAUGGGUUGUAAACUGCUUUUAUAUAGGAAGAAACCUUUCCACGUGUGGAGAGCUGACGGUACUAUAAGAAUAAGGAUCGGCUAACUCCGUGCCAGCAGCCGCGGUAAUACGGAGGAUCCAAGCGUUAUCCGGAAUCAUUGGGUUUAAAGGGUCCGUAGGUGGAUAAUUAAGUCAGAGGUGAAAGUUUGCGGCUCAACCGUAAAAUUGCCUUUGAUACUGGUUAUCUUGAAUCAUUGUGAAGUGGUUAGAAUAUGUAGUGUAGCGGUGAAAUGCAUAGAUAUUACAUAGAAUACCAAUUGCGAAGGCAGAUUACUAAUAAUCAACUGACACUGAUGGACGAAAGCGUGGGGAGCGAACAGGAUUAGAUACCCUGGUAGUCCACGCCGUAAACGAUGAGAGCUAGUUGUCUGGCAGCAUGCUGUUAGGUGACGCAGCUAACGCAUUAAGCUCUCCGCCUGGGGAGUACGGCCGCAAGGUUAAAACUCAAAGAAAUUGACGGGGGCCCGCACAAGCGGUGGAGCAUG